Molecule: long non-coding RNA, 788 nt
Filed under: Hordeum vulgare
Lineage: Eukaryota; Viridiplantae; Streptophyta; Magnoliopsida; Poales; Poaceae
Description: long non-coding RNA (HVUL_LNC003550)
Source: RNAcentral
CCCCAAUCACUUUUCAUUUAUCUCGCUCUACAACCACAAUCCUCAUUUUCAAAUCCCUAUUUUCAUACUAACAUUGCAACUUGAAAUUCAUCCUACGUAGUUCAUCAUACAUAGAUAAAAGAAGGGACAUUCGGAUGAAAACUACCCUACUUCGACUCGUCGUUGAAGAUGUAGAUGACCUCGGUAACGGACGAACCGUCCUCCUUGUCAUUGGAGGCUGUCCGGGAUUCUGACUGCUCUUCCUCGUUGUCAUCAUCAAUAUCCACAAAGAGCCACUCUUGUCUCAUGUAAGCGAGGUGGAUACGACGACGUUUGCCACCGCCCCCCGCCUCAUGUCGGCAAGGUGGAUACGACGACGGUUUGUGCCUCUCACUAGGAUUGGGUCGAGUAGGUGCUCCACCUGGAACUGCACCGCACCUUCGCAGCUUGAGUGUAUUGGAACUUUAUCGCCGCCUCCUUCAUGCCCAAGCCGUCAGGUUCAACCUCCAUGCACAUCGCCUCCUGCUUCAUGUCCUACAUGCUCGCCUCAUCCUCCUUCCUCGACGCAUGCCCUUCCCGUGGCACCGCCUCCUCUCGUACCUUCUCCUACUCCGACGCAAUUUGAGCACUGCAGUGUGACGCUUUUCUGUGGGGCGCAUAUCUGCGACGAUCUUUGCAUGACACCGAGGUGAGAGAAUUUUGUAGAAGUUAUCUUUUGCCAGACCAUGAAGGGCAUGUGAGGUCGGAAAGGCAGAGGUAGAGGGAAAAUUGGUGGCGAUGCGAACAGGAGGGAGAGCACUGGAAUCGGG